AGAAUCCUAGAGCUGAAAAGCA
This 22-nucleotide microRNA is filed under the name Dasypus novemcinctus (nine-banded armadillo). Its description in RNAcentral is "dno-miR-12086-3p". Lineage: Eukaryota; Metazoa; Chordata; Mammalia; Cingulata; Dasypodidae. The record is from miRBase by way of RNAcentral.